GAUGAAGAACGUAGCGAAGUGCGAUAAGUAAUGUGAAUUGCAGAAUUCAGUGAAUCAUCGAAUCUUUGAACGCACAUUGCGCCCGCCAGUAUUCUGGCGGGCAUGCCUGUCCGAGCGUCAUUUCAACCCUCGAACCCCUCCGGGGGGUCGGCGUUGGGGAUCGGCCCUGCCUCUUGGCGGUGGCCGUCUCCGAAAUACAGUGGCGGUCUCGCCGCAGCCUCUCCUGCGCAGUAGUUUGCACACUCGCAUCGGGAGCGCGGCGCGUCCACAGCCGUUAAACACCCAACUUCUGAAAUGUUGACCUCGGAUCAGGUAGGAAUACCCGCUGAACUUAAGCAUAUCAAUAAGCGGAGGA
Molecule: unclassified non-coding RNA, 355 nt
Filed under: soil metagenome
Description: partial contains 5.8S ribosomal RNA, internal transcribed spacer 2, and large subunit ribosomal RNA
Rfam family: 5.8S ribosomal RNA (bases 1-120)
Source: RNAcentral